AACGCGAAGAACCUUACCAGGGCUUAAAUGGGAGACGACAGUUUAGGAAACUAGACUUUCUUCGGACGUCUUUCAAGGUGCUGCAUGGUUGUCGUCAGCUCGUGCCGUGAGGUGUCAGGUUAAGUCCUAUAACGAGCGCAACCCCUGUUGUUAGUUGCCAGCGAGUCAAGUCGGGAACUCUAACAAGACUGCCGGUGUAAACCGUGAGGAAGGUGGGGAUGACGUCAAAUCAUCACGGCCCUUACGUCCUGGGCCACACACGUGCUACAAUGGCAGGUACAGAGAGCAGCCACUUAGCGAUAAGGAGCGAAUCUAUAAAACCUGUCUCAGUUCGGAUUGGAGUCUGCAACUCGACUCUAUGAAGCUGGAAUCGCUAGUAAUCGGAUAUCAGCCAUGAUCCGGUGAAUACGUUCCCGGGUCUUGUACACACCG
RNAcentral lists this ribosomal RNA (432 nucleotides) under uncultured Flavobacterium sp. Its description in RNAcentral is "bacterial SSU rRNA". It matches the Rfam family "Bacterial small subunit ribosomal RNA", at positions 958 to 1392 of the family's 1533-position model. Lineage: Bacteria; Pseudomonadati; Bacteroidota; Flavobacteriia; Flavobacteriales; Flavobacteriaceae. The record is from RNAcentral.